GUGUCAGCCGCCGCGGUAAUACCAGCUCUCCGAGUGGUGGGGACGUUUAUUGGGCCUAAAGCAUCCGUAGCCAGCUGAGCAAGUCCCCAGUUAAAUCCAGCGAUUUAAUCGUUGGACUGCUGGGGAUACUGUCCGGCUAGGGGGUGGGAGAGGCCGACGGUAUUCCCGGGGUAGGGGUGAAAUCCUAUAAUCCCGGGAGGACCACCAGUGGCGAAGGCUGUUGGCUAAAACAUGCCCGACGGUGAGGGAUGAAAGCUGGGGGAGCGAACCGGAUUAGAUACCCGGGUAGUCCCAGCUGUAAACGAUGCAGGCUAGGUGUUAGGGCGGCCACGUGCCGCUCUAGUGCCGCAGGGAAGCUGUUAAGCCUGCCGCCUGGGGAGUACGGCCGCAAGGCUGAAACUUAAAUGAAUUGACGGGG
This 418-nucleotide ribosomal RNA is filed under the name uncultured prokaryote. Its description in RNAcentral is "bacterial SSU rRNA". It matches the Rfam family "Archaeal small subunit ribosomal RNA", at positions 455 to 873 of the family's 1478-position model. The record is from RNAcentral.